RNAcentral lists this non-coding RNA (163 nucleotides) under human gut metagenome. RNAcentral describes it as "Lysine riboswitch". It matches the Rfam family "Lysine riboswitch aptamer". From Rfam's summary of the family: Riboswitches are metabolite binding domains within certain messenger RNAs that serve as precision sensors for their corresponding targets. Allosteric rearrangement of mRNA structure is mediated by ligand binding, and this results in modulation of gene expression. The record is from RNAcentral.
GGAUAGAGGCGCGGGUCGCAUCAGUACCCCAUGGCAAGGCCGGGUGGCCGCAAUGGGCGAAAGGGCGCACCGCCGAAGUGAGAAGAAAUCACCCGGUUUCUUCCUGCUGGGUCGUCAGAGAAUAUCUGCCGGACUGUCACAAGACUUUGUGAAGCGCUAUCUU